GUCACACGUGUAUGUCAUGGUCUUGCUGUGGAAAUACUUAUUUCUCCUUGCAGCAUUGAACUUUUUCAAAGCUUCCUGAUUUGUUACAAAGUUGUGGCGGUAUAUUUUUACUGUCUCAGAAUGUUUUGAAUGUGUUGGUAAACGGCGUGUUUGGUGUGGAGUAGAAUGCAUUUUAAAUAGCUGCAUUAAACAGUAACGUUAAUGUGACUAACAUUAGGUUGAGCCAGAGCUGCUAUAACUUCCUCAAGUUGAUCUUCUGCAGUUGUUGUAUGAUCGUUUGAAGUAAUUAGACAAUUAAUUUAUGACACACAUCUGCAUUUGUCGUCUUGUCUCGGAUCAAAUCAUGGUUGUAAAGAAGAAAGCAAUCAAGCAAGUGGAGGCUGUCGCAUUGAAUGAUGUCAAGCUGGAGAUCCUGACAGUGCACAAGGUAGUGGUCCAGAUUGGCUGCAGGAGCAGACUGUUGGAUGUCUCUCUGAGAGCCUGUCUGUCCUCUAUGAGCACUGAUCACUAAUCGCACUUAACAGAAAGCAUUACUUCCUGUCUGGAUAGCUUUAAGAUAGAGACCUCUGCUGGCCUCCGGAGAGUCCUGCAGGAGAUUCAACCUCGCUACACAAAUGACUUUUUCCACUAGAGCCAGAGAGCUGGACCUCAGUGGAAGCAAGCCGUGACAGUGAGCAGAAAGAGCCAGAGAAUGCAGUUUAUAAACCACAAUCCUCUAAUAGCGGUGAAAGCACAGUUGCCCACUAGUAUUUUAGAUACAGAAUAGAUAGUUCCACCACCUUAUUGUCCUUUACCGUAGUAUCUGUCUCAAGAUUUCACACAUUCAGGCACUUCAUCAAUACUUUAGCAUGAUGUCUUUAGUAAUUGCACUCAUAUUCUAAACCUUACACUUUUAGUGGACCCAGAAUUGAUCUGAAAGGAUUGCUGUAAUACAUGUUCUGUCCACGAGAGGGCGACAUUUGAUCAGUGUUUUCUGAGUUGCUUUGGAAGAGUGUGUUUAUGUUGUCUAGGUGGCCGUGAUGGACAGGCCAAUCGAGUCACCGCUCAGAAGUUGCUGGAGGGCCAUGAACGAUGUGUUCAUGUUGCUGGGGCAUCUGUGUCUUUCACACACGCUGACGACAGAGGACCAGGUCUGAGCAUCCUGAGCUCUUUGUAUCGAGACACACGUCUGUGGGAGGACAUGAGUGCUGCUGUCCUGGGUUUCACUUCUCCUGUGUGGGCCGAUGACUGAGUGAGAGUUUUUCACUCGUUUUCCUGCCCUCUGUCCCUUCCUCCUCCGUAAGCUGCAGGAAGUUGCAGCCUCUGUGAACAGUGAUUCAGUGUGUUCUUGUUGUUGUUGGUUUUGGGUCGUCUCUACCCGUCUCCUAUGGAUGGUUCAUCAUCUUCUCUGGGAUUAGCUCCUUUAAUGCCCUUAAUCACCAGGUAGGUGUAGACAUGUAGAUUACCUUAGUGCAGUGCUGACCAAAAGAUGAGCUGCACUGAAUGUGUUAUCUUUGGAUUUGAUUCAUCUGAGUAUUUCUUAGCCCUGUAGUCUCACAGGCCACUCGCUUUGCAUGUCUCUCUAUCCGUUAACUCAGCCAGUCCAUUCCUGCAAUAGACUUUUUUUCCACAGCCUCCACAUUUUUUCUUCUCUAACACUUUGUAAUGCUUGAGACGUGCAGCUACUGUUGCUGUUCCCGUUCACACACUUUUUUUUCAUUGUUUAGAUUUAGAGUAGGAAAAAUAUUUUUGGAACACGUUC
Molecule: long non-coding RNA, 1741 nt
Organism: Carassius auratus (goldfish)
Lineage: Eukaryota; Metazoa; Chordata; Actinopteri; Cypriniformes; Cyprinidae
Exons: 6
Source: RefSeq, a predicted model, not a curated record